Molecule: ribosomal RNA, 406 nt
Filed under: uncultured bacterium
Lineage: Bacteria
Description: partial 16S ribosomal RNA
Rfam family: Bacterial small subunit ribosomal RNA
Source: RNAcentral
AUUGAACGCUGGCGGCAGGCUUAACACAUGCAAGUCGAGCGAGCGGCGGACGGGUGAGUAAUGUCUGGGAAACUGCCUGAUGGAAGGGGAUAACUACUGGAAACGGUAGCUAAUACCGCAUACCAUCAGAUGUGCCCAGAGGGGAUGAGCUAGUAGGUGGGGUAAUGGAGCACCUAGGCGACGAUCCCUAGCUGGUCUGAGAGGAUGACCAGCCACACUGGAACUGAGACACGGUCCAGACUCCUACGGGCGGCAGCAGUGGGGAAUAUUGCGCAAUGGGCUCAAGCCUGAUGCAGCCAUGCGGCGUGUGUGAAGAAGGCCUUCGGGUUGUAAAGCACUUUCAGCUAGGAGGCGUUACUCGCAGAAGAAGCACCGGCUAACUCCGUGCCAGCCGCCGCGGUAAUUC